Molecule: ribosomal RNA, 468 nt
Filed under: uncultured bacterium
Lineage: Bacteria
Description: partial 16S ribosomal RNA
Rfam family: Bacterial small subunit ribosomal RNA
Source: RNAcentral
GACGAACGCUGGCGGCGUGCUUAACACAUGCAAGUCGAACGGAAAGGCCCUGCUUUUGUGGGGUGCUCGAGUGGCGAACGGGUGAGUAACAUGUGAGUAACCUGCCCUUGACUUUGGGAUAACUUCAGGAAACUGGGGCUAAUACUGGAUAGGAGCUCCUGCUGCAUGGUGGGGGUUGGAAAGUUUCGGCGGUUGGGGAUGGACUCGCGGCUUAUCAGCUUGUUGGUGGGGUAGUGGCUUACCAAGGCUUUGACGGGUAGCCGGCCUGAGAGGGUGACCGGCCACAUUGGGACUGAGAUACGGCCCAGACUCCUACGGGAGGCAGCAGUGGAGAAUAUUGCACAAUGGGCGGAAGCCUGAUGCAGCAACGCCGCGUGCGGGAUGACGGCCUUCGGGUUGUAAACCGCUUUCGCCUGUGACGAAGCGUGAGUGACGGUAAUGGGUAAAGAAGCACCGGCUAACUACGUG